RNAcentral lists this ribosomal RNA (774 nucleotides) under uncultured Neocallimastigales. RNAcentral's name for it is "partial large subunit ribosomal RNA". It matches the Rfam family "Eukaryotic large subunit ribosomal RNA", at positions 26 to 612 of the family's 3401-position model. The record is from RNAcentral. Lineage: Eukaryota; Fungi; Neocallimastigomycota; Neocallimastigomycetes; Neocallimastigales.
CGCAUCUGUGCAUGCAGCAUAUCAAUAAGCGGAGGAAAAGAAACUAACAAGGAUUCCCUUAGUAACGGCGAGUGAAGCGGGAAGAGCUCAAAUUUGAAAUCUUCAAGGUUUUACCUUGACGAAUUGUAGUUUAAAGAAGUGUUUUCUGCUGAAGUUUUGGUAAAAGUUCUUUGGAAUAGGACAUCAUAGAGGGUGAGAAUCCCGUAUUUGACCAUUAUUUUCAGCUUUGUGAUACACUUUCAAAGAGUCGGAUUGUUUGGGAAUGCAGUCCAAAAUGGGUGGUAAAUUUCAUCUAAAGCUAAAUAUUGGCGAGAGACCGAUAGCGAACAAGUACCGUGAGGGAAAGAUGAAAAGAACUUUGAAAAGAGAGUUAAACAGUACGUGAAAUUGUCAAAAGGGGAGCGUUUGACACCAGUGUUGUUUUCUCGAAAAUCAAUUAAAAAUGGCUCGAUUUUGUAUUGCUUGAGACCUUAAAAGCUCACUGUACAUUUUCGUGUCUUUUUUAAUGCACUUUUCGUUUAACAAGUCAACAUCAGUUUCUUUUGUUGUAAAAGGGUCAUUGGAAGGUGGCUUUCUUUUCGGAGAAAGUGUUUAUAGCCUUUGGCCUCUGCAAUCGAAGAGACUGAGGUCUGCAGCGUAGACUCUUCGGGGUUAGAUACAUUUGUGCUAAGUUAUAGCUUUUUAUAGACAACUUGUUGACUAUAAUUAGUCUUGUAGCUUACUCGCUUAUGCUAUUUUACCUACGCUUAGGAUGUUGACGCAUGAGAUAUACGC